GUUGUACGUUAGGUUUCAUUGCCGUUCACCUUAACCGGAUCCAGCGUGUAUCCACGUCACACAAACAACUCUCCCUCCGACCACGGGCCGGCCCGGACCGUUCGUCGCCGGAGUCUUCUUCCGGAAACUGCAGGUGGCUGAAAUGAUGGCAUCGCACCAGUGUUUUUUACGCAGGUGCCGAAGACGACAACUCUUUAAAAGGCUGAUGAGAAAGUUCCAGGCUUCUCUCAAUCCAACUCUAGCGCAUGGGGGGGGAUUCAGCUGAGCUUUUUCGUCAUGACAACCAAGUAAUGGCCACAAAGUAAACUGAAGAGAUGCAGAGUUCACGUGUCGAGGUAUCGAGGUAACUGCUCCACUGACAAAUCAACUUGUUUCAAAUCAGUUUAAACACAUGAUCUGAAUGCAGCGAAAGUUUGACAUGAGCACGCCUAAAUAUUAAAGAUAACAGCAAUAUCAUGCAAAAAAAGAGCCAUACAGUACCACCCCAAGUGCUCUCAUGUUUUACCCCAUUAUGCUCCACUUAGCAGUACGUACUGUAGAUCUUGCGAUCCUCAAGGUUCAAAAUAUUUGUCAGAGAUUUGUUACAAAUACUGUCUCAAAAAUAUUAACCGG
Scophthalmus maximus (turbot) is the source of this 612-nucleotide long non-coding RNA. RefSeq lists it as uncharacterized. The transcript is spliced from 3 exons. The record is from RefSeq and is a predicted model, not a curated record. NCBI's taxonomy places the organism in Eukaryota, Metazoa, Chordata, Actinopteri, Pleuronectiformes, Scophthalmidae.